Molecule: transfer RNA, 82 nt
Filed under: Paramuribaculum sp.
Lineage: Bacteria; Pseudomonadati; Bacteroidota; Bacteroidia; Bacteroidales; Muribaculaceae
Also listed under: 1 other name
Description: tRNA-Leu
Rfam family: tRNA
About the family: Transfer RNA (tRNA) molecules are approximately 80 nucleotides in length. Their secondary structure includes four short double-helical elements and three loops (D, anti-codon, and T loops).
Source: RNAcentral
GCCCGGAUGGCGGAAUUGGCAGACGCGACGGUCUCAAACACCGUUGGAGCAAUCCUUACCGGUUCGAUCCCGGUUCCGGGCA